Molecule: long non-coding RNA, 896 nt
Organism: Heterocephalus glaber (naked mole-rat)
Lineage: Eukaryota; Metazoa; Chordata; Mammalia; Rodentia; Bathyergidae
Source: Ensembl
UAACAUUUGUAUGUCUGUUAUCAUUUCCAUUUCUUGAAUCUGAAUCAUGUAUAUAAAUUGUCCACCCUACUUGAAAAAAAAUAUGUGGGGCAGCUUUCCUCUGUGAUAUGUGAUGUCAGAGAGGACUAAACCAGGCACAAUUAUCCAUUUUGGGCACAGCUGUUGGCUAUACACUCAGAAAUCCGGUGGCCAAAAUUGCCUCAAGAUACCAAAUUGUUUCUGAGGAUGGCAAGAUUUAAUUAGCAUUCUGAAAUUUCCUUGAAACACCCAAGAAUGGUUAGUAUGCCAGGGGAAGAAAGCAGGAUCAUAAUCCAAGGCCAAAGAGGACUUUGUUUACAGCUGCCCUGACCAUAUUCACAGGCAGUUUGCUUGCUCAAGCCAACAGAAUGAGGAAGUGAAUAUUAUGUCAUUUCUGAGCCUUGACUUCAAAAGGCCUUGUGUUAAUCCUGCCCAGCUGGUAAAUGAAUACGUGUGGCCAAGUGGCCUCCUGUCUAUAGUGACAGCCAGACCACUGGGGAGAUAUAAGGGAAGCCAUACUAGACCAACAAGGACUCAGGGCCAGCCAACUGCCUUUGAUGAGCAAGUCUGGCCCAAACUGGAUCAUGUGAGCACAGCUAUACAGCUGAAGAGUGAAUUCAGCAAUGAGAAGAAAUCCUCAUUAUUUUAUACUUCUGUGUUGAAGUCUCAACAAUCAACAGAACAACAAAUCAAGUCCCAAUUUGAAGUGUCAGCUACUCUCUGAGGUGAAACUUGGCCAUUAUGGUCAUUUUCGACUCGCUGGGGCAAUGUCAUGAACAUAGAAUUGGAAAGAGAUGCAUACUAUCACUGCAGAGGUAAAAUCAAAUUACCUCUUAAGGGCAUGGAUGACAUUUAAAUUUAAUAAAAUUCUGGGAAGC